RNAcentral lists this transfer RNA (73 nucleotides) under Orchesella cincta. It matches the Rfam family "tRNA". From Rfam's summary of the family: Transfer RNA (tRNA) molecules are approximately 80 nucleotides in length. Their secondary structure includes four short double-helical elements and three loops (D, anti-codon, and T loops). Lineage: Eukaryota; Metazoa; Arthropoda; Collembola; Entomobryomorpha; Orchesellidae. The record is from Rfam by way of RNAcentral.
GCCGAAAUAGCUCAGUUGGGAGAGCGUCAGACUGAAGAUCUGAAGGUCGUGUGUUCGAUCCACACUUUCGGCA